This 253-nucleotide ribosomal RNA is filed under the name uncultured bacterium. Its description in RNAcentral is "partial 16S ribosomal RNA". It matches the Rfam family "Bacterial small subunit ribosomal RNA", at positions 524 to 776 of the family's 1533-position model. The record is from RNAcentral.
GACAGAGGGGGCAAGCGUUGCUCGGAAUCACUGGGCGUAAAGGGCGCGUAGGCGGGAUGGCAAGUCGGUCGUGAAAUCCUUCGGCUCGACCGAAGAACGUCGGCCGAUACUGCCGUUCUUGAGGGAUGCAGAGGAGAUUGGAAUUCCCGGUGUAGCGGUGAAAUGUGUAGAGAUCGGGAGGAACACCGGUGGCGAAGGCGGGUCUCUGGGUAUCUCCUGACGCUGAGGCGCGAAAGCUAGGGGAGCAAACAGG